RNAcentral lists this ribosomal RNA (312 nucleotides) under uncultured bacterium. RNAcentral describes it as "bacterial SSU rRNA". It matches the Rfam family "Bacterial small subunit ribosomal RNA", at positions 28 to 334 of the family's 1533-position model. The record is from RNAcentral.
GAUGAACGCCAGCGACAGGCUUAACACAUGCAAGUCGAGGGGCAGCUCGAUGUAGCAAUACAUUGGUGGCGACCGGCGCACGGGUGAGUAACGCGUAUGCAACCUACCUAUCAGAGGGGAAUAACCCGGCGAAAGUCGGACUAAUACCGCACAAAACAGGGGUUCCACAUGGAAAUAUUUGCUAAAGAAUUAUCGCUGAUAGAUGGGCAUGCGUUCCAUUAGAUAGUUGGUGAGGUAACGGCUCACCAAGUCCACGAUGGAUAGGGGUUCUGAGAGGAAGGUCCCCCACACUGGUACUGAGACACGGACCAG